Hibiscus syriacus is the source of this 623-nucleotide long non-coding RNA. RefSeq lists it as uncharacterized. The record is from RefSeq and is a predicted model, not a curated record. NCBI's taxonomy places the organism in Eukaryota, Viridiplantae, Streptophyta, Magnoliopsida, Malvales, Malvaceae. The transcript has 2 exons.
UGGAAAAUUUGCAUUAACCAAUCGGCAACGUCAAUUCCCACUAUAUAAAUGCCGUCUAACGCCCAAUAUUUUCUCAGAAAAUUUUCCCACUUUCUCUUCAAAUUUCCCAUCCAAGAAACAAGGAAUCCUUCCGUUUCUCCACAGUUCUUCGGAUCAGAUUGCUUAUAGUCAGCCAUGAAGAAAUCAGGGCUAUUCGCUGCCUCAGUCGCCGCCGCCUCUGCCUCUUCCACUUUCACUUGUAACUCCAAUUUCCAGUUCUCCGGCGAGGACAAGAAAGAAGAUGAGAAUUCUUCUGCAAACAAAAAAUCGACUUCGACUGAGAAAUUUGCACCCAGGUUUGAUGGGUUGAGGUUCAUUGAGACUUUGGUCACUGCUCAUCGAUGAACAAAUCAAAGCUUGAUAACCACAAGCUUCGAUUCUUUUCUCCUUAAAACUGAUGAAGAAUUUUCGCUUUUUUUUUUUUACCUGUUUGGUUCAUAAUUCUACGAAGGAAGCGAAAGAGAUGCACUUUAUAAUAUUUCUCCAAUUUUUGAGCCCCUUCUGUUCAAAAUUGUUUCCAUAAUGCACCAUAUGUAUAUCUUUUAAUAUUUAUGUAUAAACUAUAUGUCGACACGGUUUUUUUU